This 265-nucleotide signal recognition particle RNA is filed under the name Chloroflexi bacterium B3_Chlor. RNAcentral's name for it is "signal recognition particle sRNA large type". It matches the Rfam family "Bacterial large signal recognition particle RNA". From Rfam's summary of the family: The signal recognition particle (SRP) is a universally conserved ribonucleoprotein involved in the co-translational targeting of proteins to membranes. Archaeal SRP consists of a 7S RNA and homologues of the eukaryotic SRP19 and SRP54 proteins. The record is from RNAcentral. Lineage: Bacteria; Bacillati; Chloroflexota.
UCGUGCUAGAUGGGGAGCUAGCGGUGCCCUGUACCCGUAAUCCGCUAUAGCGGGAUCGAAAACCCUCUUGAGGUUCUGAGCCUUGCGAAACUGCUGGGAAGAAGUGGCGUUGAAGGUCGGGUCCUGCGCGGCAGAAGCCUAUGAACCCCGUCAGGUCCGGAAGGAAGCAGCGGUAAGUAGUCACUUCUGGGCGCCGUAGGGUAACCUGGCUGGAGCUAACUGGUCUCGGUAAGCCGAGAGGCCUGAGUCGAGAGAGGGUGCACGA